Lolium perenne is the source of this 592-nucleotide long non-coding RNA. RefSeq lists it as uncharacterized. Lineage: Eukaryota; Viridiplantae; Streptophyta; Magnoliopsida; Poales; Poaceae. The record is from RefSeq and is a predicted model, not a curated record.
CUCUUCCUCAUCGUCCUUCUCCAGAACCGAUCUAGGGUCUUGCUCGGCUGCCUUCUCUACAAGACGGGUGCCCAUGAGUUCCUCUGCGAUGUAGAACAAGCGGCACACAUCGAUCACAGUGGGGAGCAAAGUCUUUGGCUGAUAAAGGAGGAGUGGACUAUGGUGCAAUAAUGCAAUCAGUUGCACCAGAGUUGUCCACAUUGGAUUCUGAAGUGGGAUUUGAAAGAGGACGAGAAGCUGAUCUCGUCAACAUGAAUCUGAAAAGGUAAUGGGAAGUAAUACUUGAGGAAGUCCUAGUCAGGAGAAGGCUCGUGUUAUUAAUAAUGAUGAUAAUAAUGCGAUGUCAUCUAUGACAAAGAGGGUGAUGGCGGCGACUAUGGCUAUGCGAGGGUGAUGAUUAUGUCUACGUCAAUGAUCAUUAGGGCACAUAUGGCGAUGGGCAUGACAAUAACUCCGAGUCUUUGAUGAUGAUUGUGAGUCUAAUGACCAGAGUCAUGCAACAAAGCAAAUUUCUCUUGUAUUUCUACAGUUUAGCCCUUGUGAGAAUGUUUGGACCACUUUAGUUUCCUUACUACUCUCUAUUGUAUUCGAC